This 229-nucleotide ribosomal RNA is filed under the name uncultured bacterium. Its description in RNAcentral is "partial 16S ribosomal RNA". It matches the Rfam family "Bacterial small subunit ribosomal RNA", at positions 568 to 796 of the family's 1533-position model. The record is from RNAcentral.
UACGUAGGCGGAAAAUUAAGUCAGUAGUGAAAUCCUGCAGCUUAACUGUAGAACUGUUAUUGAUACUGGUUUUCUUGAAUAUAGUUGAGGUAAGCGGAAUGUGUAAUGUAGCGGUGGAAUUCUUAGAUAUUACACAGAACACCGAUUGCGAAGGCAGCUUACUAAGCUAUGAUUGACGCUGAGGUACGAAAGCGUGGGGAGCGAACAGGAUUAGAUACCCUGGUAGUCC